This 662-nucleotide ribosomal RNA is filed under the name uncultured bacterium. Its description in RNAcentral is "bacterial SSU rRNA". It matches the Rfam family "Bacterial small subunit ribosomal RNA", at positions 28 to 665 of the family's 1533-position model. The record is from RNAcentral.
AACGAACGCUGGCAGCGUGGAUUAGGCAUGCAAGUCGUACGAGGGUGGCUUUGAUAGCAAUACGGCCACCCGAGUGGCGGAAGGGCGAGUAACGCCUGAGCAACCUGCCCCCUUGCUGGGGAUACCUCGGGGAAACCCGAGUUAAUACCGAAUGUGACCAGGGCCGGCAUCGGCCCGAAGUGAAAGGCGGGGACCGCAAGGCCUGCCGCAAGGGGAGGGGUUCAUGUACCAUCAGCUAGUCGGUGGGGUAACGGCCCACCGAGGCUACGACGGUUAGCUGGUCUGAGAGGACGACCAGCCGCACUGGGACUGAGAUACUGCCCAGACUCCUACGGGAGGCUGCAGUCGAGGAUCAUUCGCAAUGGGCGCAAGCCUGACGAUGCGACGCUGCGUGGAGGAUGAAAGGGCUUCGGCUCCGUAAACUCCUGUCAUGGAGGGAAAAAGCUCCCCGCUGUCAACAACGGGCGGGGGUCGAUGGUACUUCAAGAGGAAGCCACGGGCUAACUCUGUGCCAGCAGCCGCGGUUAUACAGAGGUGGCGAGCGUUGUUCGGAUUUACUGGGCGUAAAGGCGCGUAGAGCUUGUUGUGUCGACCGGAAUCUCCGGGUCACCCCGAAGUAGGGUCGUAAAAUGUCUCGAGAUCUCUCAACGGGGGAUGGUGGA